CCUACGGGUGGCAGCAGGGAGGAAUAUUGGUCAAUGGACGAGAGUCUGAACCAGCCAAGUAGCGUGAAGGAUGACUGCCCUAUGGGUUGUAAACUUCUUUUAUAAAGGAAUAAAACGAGGCACGUGUGCCUUUUUGCAUGUACUUUAUGAAUAAGGAUCGGCUAACUCCGUGCCAGCAGCCGCGGUAAUACGGAGGAUCCGAGCGUUAUCCGGAUGUAUUGGGUUUAAAGGGAGCGUAGAUGGGUUGUUCAGUCAGUUGUGAAAGUUUGCGGCUCAACCGUAAAAUUGCAAUUGAUACUGGCAGUCUUGAGUACAGUUGAGGUAGGCGGAAUUCGUGGUGUAGCGGUUAAAUGCUUAGAUAUCACGAAGAACCCCGAUUGCGAAGGCAGCUUACUAAACUGUGACUGACAUUGAUGCUCGAAAGUGUGGGUAUCAAACAGGAUUAGAUACCCUUGUAGUC
Molecule: ribosomal RNA, 460 nt
Filed under: uncultured bacterium
Lineage: Bacteria
Description: partial 16S ribosomal RNA
Rfam family: Bacterial small subunit ribosomal RNA
Source: RNAcentral